AGCUUUAACUGAAGAGUUUGAUCCUGGCUCAGAGUGAACGCUGGCGGCAGGCCUAACACAUGCAAGUCGAGCGGCAGCGGGUCGUAGCAAUACGAUGCCGGCGAGCGGCGGACGGGUGAGGAAUACAUCGGAAUCUACCCAGUCGUGGGGGAUAACGUAGGGAAACUUACGCUAAUACCGCAUACGACCUGAGGGUGAAAGCAGGGGACCGCAAGGCCUUGCGCGAUUGGAUGAGCCGAUGUCGGAUUAGCUAGUUGGUGAGGUAAAGGCUCACCAAGGCGACGAUCCGUAGCUGGUCUGAGAGGAUGAUCAGCCACACUGGAACUGAGACACGGUCCAGACUCCUACGGGAGGCAGCAGUGGGGAAUAUUGGACAAUGGGCGCAAGCCUGAUCCAGCCAUGCCGCGUGUGUGAAGAAGGCCUUCGGGUUGUAAAGCACUUUUGUCCGGGAAGAAAUCUUCCGACCUAAUACGUCGGGAGGAUGACGGUACCGGAAGAAUAAGCACCGGCUAACUUCGUGCCAGCAGCCGCGGUAAUACGAAGGGUGCAAGCGUUACUCGGAAUUACUGGGCGUAAAGCGUGCGUAGGUGGUUCGUUAAGUCUGCCGUGAAAGCCCCGGGCUCAACCUGGGAAUGGCGGUGGAUACUGGCGGACUAGAGUGCGGUAGAGGGUGGUGGAAUUCCCGGUGUAGCAGUGAAAUGCGUAGAGAUCGGGAGGAACAUCUGUGGCGAAGGCGGCCACCUGGACCAGCACUGACACUGA
This 762-nucleotide ribosomal RNA is filed under the name Arenimonas sp. RNAcentral's name for it is "bacterial SSU rRNA". It matches the Rfam family "Bacterial small subunit ribosomal RNA", at positions 1 to 749 of the family's 1533-position model. The record is from RNAcentral. Lineage: Bacteria; Pseudomonadati; Pseudomonadota; Gammaproteobacteria; Lysobacterales; Lysobacteraceae.